RNAcentral lists this unclassified non-coding RNA (200 nucleotides) under Conocybe semiglobata. RNAcentral's name for it is "partial internal transcribed spacer 2". Lineage: Eukaryota; Fungi; Basidiomycota; Agaricomycetes; Agaricales; Bolbitiaceae. The record is from RNAcentral.
AAUUCUCAAUCUCAACAUUCUUGUAAUGUUUGUAGAUUGGAUGUGGGGGUUUAUGUGGGUCUUUUACAAGUUCCACUCCCCUGAAAUGUAUUAGCUGGAAUGCCUUUGCAAACCAACUAUCAGUAUGAUAAUUAUCUAUGCUGGAGUUGAUGCAAUAGGGGAUCUGCUUCUCAACCGUCUUUCUAAGACAAUUUGAAACA